This is a long non-coding RNA of Cyprinus carpio (common carp), 525 nucleotides long. NCBI's taxonomy places the organism in Eukaryota, Metazoa, Chordata, Actinopteri, Cypriniformes, Cyprinidae. The record is from Ensembl.
CUGGUACCCAACCAGCACCAGAUGUCAUUUGGACAUGGUUUUGUUUUUUUGGGCUAAAUCAACUCGGCUGUCUGAUUUGGUUCAAAUAUAGCCCCAAAAUCUAUGUUUAAUAUUAGGUUUUGUUUGGUCCAUCUGAUUUGGUCCAGAUUUAGGCCAAAAAUAAAUGUUGAAAUAACAGUGAAAUUCUGCGUGACUUCUACGGUGCUGUAAUGGGCGCGCGUGCUGAACUGGAGCGGAGGACGUCACCAUGGAAACGAGGCGGCAGCACAACCGUCAAGCAGCUGAACGCUGACUCUCAAUGUGGUUUUCACUAUUGUUUUUUAGAAAUGGUUUAGUGUCGUCAGAAAAAGUCCGUUAGCAUCUCAACCGUAAGGCUAACUACAAGAGGUAACGAUAAACUUGAGCUCUUAUUUAUUAAGUUUGGCCUUUUAUUGUCACCUUGUGUGUAGAUGAGCUCUCUCGCUCUCUCUCCCUCUCUCUCUAUAUACAGUAGGUAGACAUCCAAAACGUCGUUUCUACCGCCGC